AACGAACGCUGGCGGCGUGCCUAACACAUGCAAGUCGUACGCGAAAGGGGCUUCGGCCCUGAGUAAAGUGGCGCACGGGUGAGUAACACGUGGAUAAUCUACCCGAUGAUUGGGGAUAACAUUCCGAAAGGAAUGCUAAUACCGGAUAAGCCCACGUACCCUUAGGGGUAUGCGGGAAAAGGUGGGGACCUUCGGGCCUACCGUCAUCGGAUGAGUCCGCGUCCCAUUAGCUAGUUGGUGGGGUAAUGGCCUACCAAGGCGACGAUGGGUAGCUGGUCUGAGAGGAUGAUCAGCCACACUGGAACUGAGACACGGUCCAGACUCCUACGGGAGGCAGCAGUGGGGAAUUUUGCGCAAUGGGCGAGAGCCUGACGCAGCAACGCCGCGUGAGUGAUGAAGGCCUUCGGGUCGUAAAGCUCUGUCAGAGGGAAAGAACAACCUGUCGGUUAAUACCCGUCAGGCCUGACGGUACCCUCAAAGGAAGCACCGGCUAACUCCGUG
This 501-nucleotide ribosomal RNA is filed under the name uncultured bacterium. RNAcentral describes it as "bacterial SSU rRNA". It matches the Rfam family "Bacterial small subunit ribosomal RNA", at positions 29 to 507 of the family's 1533-position model. The record is from RNAcentral.